GGGUAGGGAAGGGGAUGGUUUGUUUGUUUUCUUGAACCUGCUGUAAGUCGAUUUACUGAUAGGUUGAUUGGGUACUCUCUUGUUUUAAUCAAUUUGUUGGAAUAUAAUGUUGACUGGUUAAUAAUCUGUUGUACUUUCUGCAUUUGGGCUCUUUUUGGGCUCCUCGGCUGUAGUACCAUUUGUUUUCUCUUUAGUCAGUUGGAUAUGUUUAUAAGCAUUGAAGUUGGAGAUUUGGUAAUAGUUCCCUUAAUUGGAUCUCGGAUAUGAUUUCCCCCUCUUUUUCCAACUUCUGUGGUUUGUCCCCCAAGGUGUUGGUCUACUCGUAAGAGCGCAACACGUGUGGAUUAGGAGCACAUCACUGGUUCGAACCCUGCUACAGACAAAAGCAUGGUAUUUAAGUGGAGAAGCCAUGCAUCACCAGUCCUCGGGGAUUUUUAGGUUGUAAAAAGAAAAAUUAUGUGUGUGUGUAGUAGUGGAUUUGUGUUAUUCGAUGGACCUUGUCAACUCUUAACUUGCAUCUAAUAAUGACAUCUUUGUCAGGAAAAUCCUAGGUUUCUAUGCUCUUUUGAUGAGUAUGCAUGCUGGUGCAAUAGAAACUACCGGCUGUCUAGAAUGUGAUUUCUUAUUCUGUAGAUUAUUAGUUUAGCGAGCUUCUUUAGGAGAUGUGUGAAUGUUAUGAGUCACCCAU
This 688-nucleotide long non-coding RNA is filed under the name Nicotiana benthamiana. Its description in RNAcentral is "long non-coding RNA (NBEN_LNC002460)". Lineage: Eukaryota; Viridiplantae; Streptophyta; Magnoliopsida; Solanales; Solanaceae. The record is from RNAcentral.